RNAcentral lists this ribosomal RNA (501 nucleotides) under uncultured bacterium. RNAcentral's name for it is "bacterial SSU rRNA". It matches the Rfam family "Bacterial small subunit ribosomal RNA", at positions 15 to 507 of the family's 1533-position model. The record is from RNAcentral.
GAUCCUGGCUCAGAUUGAACGCUGGCGGCAGGCCUAACACAUGCAAGUCGAGCGCGAAAAUUCCUUCGGGAAUGAGUAGAGCGGCGGACGGGUGAGUAACGCGUAGGAAUCUCGCCCGGUAGGUGGGGGACGAACAGUCGGAAACGACUGCUAAUACCGCAUACGCCCUAAGGGGGAAAGCAGGGGAUCUGCGGACCUUGCGCUAUCGGAUGAGCCUGCGUCGGAUUAGCUUGUUGGUGGGGUAAGUGGCCUACCAAGGCGACGAUCCGUAGCUGGUCUGAGAGGAUGAUCAGCCACACUGGGACUGAGACACGGCCCAGACUCCUACGGGAGGCAGCAGGUGGGGAAUAUUGGACAAUGGGGGAAACCCUGAUCCAGCCAUGCCGCGUGUGUGAAGAAGGCCUUCGGGUUGUAAAGCACUUUCAGUAGGGAGGAAAAGUUGAUGGCUAAUACCCAUCAGCCCUGACGUUACCUACAGAAGAAGCACCGGCAAACUCCGUG